This 1257-nucleotide long non-coding RNA is filed under the name Dasypus novemcinctus (nine-banded armadillo). RNAcentral's name for it is "lncRNA (ENSDNOG00000051150.1)". The record is from RNAcentral. Lineage: Eukaryota; Metazoa; Chordata; Mammalia; Cingulata; Dasypodidae.
AUGUGCUCAGGGCCCUCCCCUGGGCCGCUGCUCUGGGUCUGCGCGGACUUGCUGUGUGACCUUGGACAAAUUGCUGAAGCUCUCUGGAUUUCUGAUCCCUGCCACUGUCACCUGACUCCCAUCCGGAAUCUCAGGGAGGACCCAAAUGGACUAAGGAUUCAGGGCAGGCUUUUGAAGCCCGUGACAUCCAAGCCGAGCCCGAAGGGCACACGUGGAAGAGCCAAAGAGGAGGGGGUGGGCGAGGGGGACGCACUUCCGGCGCGGCGGCACCCGGUGCCAGGCCCAGGGAUGAGGAGAGCAUCUCGCUGGAGAGGCGAGAGUGGUUCGGGCUGGCCACAUAGCCAGGGCCCAGGAAGCUUCAUUCUGAGAGCGGCAGGGACAAUGGUUCCUGAUGCCCCCAGGCCUCCGCAGUGCAGCCUGGAUGCUGUGCUGGUGACAUUGAGCACACUUGGGAAAGGACAUGGGAGAGGAUGCCGAGCAGUCAGCAGCCCACAGAGGCCCUUGAGGAGUUGUUAUCCAGGAAAGAGGCCCAGGGAAGGGGACACAGGAAGUGGCCUCACCUCCUUGAAGCUGGAGCCCAGCAGAACUUGGAACCUGGUAACCAGGGACCCACAUUCUAGAGACAGCCGCUAGCUGCUCACUCGGGCAGAGAAACACGAGGGAGCAACAUGUUCUCCUGCUGCCUCCGAGCUUCCCGAGACUCCCGCACCAGGAGUCCCUGUCGUGAGAGGCUUCUCAGAUGCUGUCGGCGUUGGCUCACCCCACAGUAUCGACGGCUCACCCCGCAGCCUCGCCGGCUGUGGCCGUUUCCUAGGAGGAGCCAUGAGGUAAGCCAUGGGGCUGGGCAGGGGAUGAGGCCAGGCCUAGCCUGUGGCCUGCCUGGGCAGCCUCAGAUCGUCCACUCUGGCCUGGUGUGUGCAGGGGAGGAUCAUGAGUGAGGACGUCCCUGGGCAGGAGCAGGGGGUUGGGGGAGGAGGCCAGGUGGCUUGUCAUGUUCACUUCCAGGCCACGGCAACCAGGGCAUGAUGGGGGACGUAGGUUGGCAUCCCUCUGCCCAAAUGUUGAUCCUGACCCAUGGAGCUGUCCCUUGCCAUUGACUGUAAGGCUGGGCCCUGCUGCCGCCAGGCCUGGUUGACAAACCUGUCUUUGCAGGUUUCUACCCACGAGACCAGAACAGAAAAGGACAUGGAGGUCAUCGACCUCUCGCCCCAGACCUGGGAGUCUGGGCAUCAUGCCACCGACAUCGACCAGAGCAGG